RNAcentral lists this ribosomal RNA (405 nucleotides) under uncultured prokaryote. RNAcentral's name for it is "bacterial SSU rRNA". It matches the Rfam family "Bacterial small subunit ribosomal RNA", at positions 355 to 776 of the family's 1533-position model. The record is from RNAcentral. RNAcentral also lists the same sequence under 1 other name.
UGGGGAAUAUUGGGCAAUGGGCGCAAGCCUGACCCAGCGACGCCGCGUGAGGGAAGACGGUCUUCGGAUUGUAAACCUUUGUUGAUGGGGAAGAAACAUGACGGUACCCAUCGAGGAAGCCACGGCUAACUACGUGCCAGCAGCCGCGGUAAUACGUAGGUGGCGAGCGUUAUCCGGAUUUACUGGGUGUAAAGGGUGUGUAGGCGGAGAAGCAAGUCAGAUGUGAAAAUUACGGGCUCAACCUGUAACCUGCGUCUGAAACUGUUUCCCUUGAGAGUCGGAGAGGUAAACGGAAUUCCUGGUGUAGCGGUGAAAUGCGUAGAUAUCAGGAGGAACACCGGUGGCGAAGGCGGUUUACUGGACGACAACUGACGCUGAGACACGAAAGCGUGGGGAGCAAACAGG